This 469-nucleotide ribosomal RNA is filed under the name Monoctenia falernaria. Its description in RNAcentral is "partial 28S ribosomal RNA". The record is from RNAcentral. Lineage: Eukaryota; Metazoa; Arthropoda; Insecta; Lepidoptera; Geometridae.
UUCAAGAGUACGUGAAACCGUCCAGGGGUAAACCUGCGAAACUCGAAUGAACGAACGGAGAGAUUCAUCGUCACUCCUCGGCGCACUUGCGCGGCGACGAUGCCAGUCGGCCUCGUGUCGGCGGGCACGUCCCGCUCUCGUCGCGUCCGGGGACGGCGUGCACUUCUCUCUCAGUAAUACAUCGCGACCCGUUCGAUGUCGGUCUAAGUGCCCACCGGGAGUCUUCGCUCACGUUCGCGCGGGAGUGUAGACCGCGUGGUGUCCACCGACCGGCCGUCGGACGGUAUACGUUAAGAAACGCGCACGCGCUCUAGCGCGCGUCCGGCCCGACGCAAGGCAACGUCGUAUCCCGCGUCCUGCCCGAGUGCGGACGAGGGUGCGGCGCGCCUGUCGUCGCAGCCGUGCUGUCUCGGACCGUGCGCGUAUCCGUCUGCGAUGAUUCAGUUUCGGGCACUCGCAGGACCCGUCU